Long non-coding RNA from Chroicocephalus ridibundus (black-headed gull), 4091 nucleotides. RefSeq lists it as uncharacterized. The transcript has 3 exons. The record is from RefSeq and is a predicted model, not a curated record. Lineage: Eukaryota; Metazoa; Chordata; Aves; Charadriiformes; Laridae.
CGGAGGCGGGGGGGGUCGGGGGGGGGGGAAGCCCCCCUCUCCCUUCCCCAUCACAGGCACCUACCUUCAUCUCCUCGUUGAUCUCCCGCUUCACCGGAUGGCAGAGUGAUUAGAGACACGGAGCGUAUUCUCCCCUGUGGCAUUGAAAAUGGGAAGAAACUGGGAUUUUGCACAGCCUUCGCCGUUAGAGCUAAGUGAUCAUCAAAAGAGUGGCAGGACCUCGCGGAGACCCUGGAGAAGGCUCUGCCGGCAGCAAGGAGCUACAGGAGACAAGCCGCAGAAGGGGUCGUGCCGUGGGCUCGGUCUGUUCUGCGCACACCAGGAACACAAGGUCUGCCCUCAGACUCACCAGCAGCGAGCAUGAGAAAGAACCGAGAUUUACAGAUAUAUUUUUUCUUGCCUGCAAUAUUUUAAAACACAGUGGAUUCUGAAACUUGGGGGAAACUAACUUGUGACUCUACGGGUAACUUCCAAAGCAUGGUGCUUAAUAGGGAGGUUUCCUGCCUUCUGUGCCCCACCACCACCACCAGCAACCUCAUCUCUAUGUUUUGUUCACCAUAUUUUAUUAAAAGCAAAUCGGUAUGGUUGAUCUCUCAUCAAGUACAGGAGAUAAUCCCAGAAUCUCAAUGCAUUUUCUCACCCAGUAGGAAUAAGACAGGCAAUGCAAGGGGAAGUUGCUUAUAAACACAAUCUCACGUAGCCUUCGAUCUCUUUGGAACCUUUGGCUGGAAAAAGCAAGCCAACCUCAGACAACUACUCUGCUUUGAAUUGCCACCACCUUGCUGAUACAUGAAGUCGUUCUAAUGAAAAAGGCAAAAUUAAUUCUUGCAUUAGGGACAUAUCACAAGUUUCUCUGUAGAGCUGAUAGCAAAGUUUUAAUGAAAAUAUUUAGAACUUCUGCUAAACAGACUAUUGCCUGAAAUGGUUCUUCAGUGAAACAUCUGAAGACUACUUCUCAACACUUACUAUACGUAUUGUAAUAAAUCUCUGUUUCUCUGCAUAAACGUAAUAGACUGAAUUGAUAAUCUGACAAAAAGAUGAAUCCCGAACUCCCAACAUAGAUGGAAUUUCUUUUAAUAUUGGAAGGGGCUUUGGAGAGGGUAUCUGCAAGCCCAAAUGGUGCAAGCUGUCUUCAGCAGGUUACAGCGAGAAGAACAAAAAGAACGUCUUCAGGAUCAAAUCUGUCAUUCCAGUUUUCCUGACUAACGGCUGAAGGUUUCGUUGUAAAUUGAAGCACUUCCCAUCCCUCUCGCUGCCAAUUCUGAACUCUGAUCCUCGCUUCUUGGUCAUCAAAAACAGUGGCUUUCAGUCAGGUUUUUUUUUCCAGUUGCACACUCCAAAUACUUUUGAAUGGAGAUGUGAACUUAUGCCUCCUGACAGUAGGCUCCCUUUUCUCAGCUAAUUCUGGUAAACUCCUUAAAAACAGCCUACAGUCCCCCAGAACCUCGUCAACCACCAGAUGAGAGCCAUGUUCUUAAAGCAUAUCCUGUUUUUCUCAGUACCUAAUACAGGCUUUGGAUGGAUACAAAAGUUCUACCUCUCUGUGUCCUAAUAAUAUCUCUUCAUCUGACAGCAGAUUAUGUCUGCAUCUGUCACGAUUCCUAUUUUUCUAGAGCUGUUAUUACCUUUACAUAUUGCAUAUUAUUAUACUACAUAUUCUUGGGAAGUUGUUCUUCUAGUGAUAGCAUAUGGAGGACCAUCAACUGUCAACACAGAAGUUCAUGCAUUUAGAGUGCUCAGACGUUAUCUGACACACAUUGUAGCUACUGAAAUAAGUUUUGGAAACUGUCUAAUUAUUCCACUUGUUACUGGGGAGCGAAUGACUAACAAAAAGGAACGCUUUCAGGUUUUAAUGGUAGCUCGUGAACUUGUAAGGGGAGGCAGAAUAUCAGAAUCUAUGGAAGCCAUGAAUUUGUCAGUCACACAAUGGCAUUGAUCUGAACGUCUCCAAAAAGUUACGAGAAAAUAAAUCUGGUAUUUACAUUGCAGAGACCCUAACAUUAAAUACAUUUACUGAACUGUGACAGCACAAAUUUCUUGUGUGAAAACCUGUAUUUUUCGUAAAGAAACCUGAUUCAGCAGUGCUCUAUACGGAUUCUGCAGACAUCUUAAAAAGUUGAAUACGGAUGCCUGAUUGGAUCAACAGGGCUGCUCGCAUUGGAUCAACAGGGCUGCUCGCAUUUAUUCUACUAGGUACUGGGGUACAUGGUAUCAGUAAGCCAUUUCCAGCCAAAGAUGAAAUCCUGGUCCUGUGGAAACAGUGAAGAUUUGAGUUUAAUGAGACCAAACUCCUUGAGAAAUUUCCGAAGUGAUUUUAAAUCAAUUUAUUAUACAGUGUGCAUUGGAAAGCAAGAACACCAUGUUCUAAAAGAUCAAAAAAAAGAAAAAAAAAAGAAAGCAGGGUUUUCAAAAUAUGUUUCCAUUCUCAUUCAAGCAAAAAUGAGAUUUUUCAAUCUGAGGGGAAAAAAAGUUUCAUACUCCUUAUUGUAACUCAUCUCGAAAAGGAGUAGGAGCUGCAUAUGAGGCUCCCCAUGAUGAGUGCAUGCUCUAACCACACUGCAACAGAGUAAGUCACUCCCUGUCUUGCCUGUCGAAGGGUUUGGGGUUGGGUUUUUUUCCUUUGCUCAUUGGUUAUUUUCAAAGUUGGGGAGAAAAAAGCCACAUGGUCCAUCUUUUGGUGGUUGCUAAGUCACCUGCAAGACUGAGGUUCAGGUCCCUGCUGUAUCUGAAUGACGGCAAGAACCUGAACUUUUCCUUCCAUUGCCCAAGCACAUGUUUUACACCUAAGGUGCUUUGCCAAGCUCCCUAUUUUUGUUCUAUCACAGUUUUGCAUUUCCAGCUCUGAAUUUGCGCUUGGAUUUCUGCAAGCACAGUAAUCUGGACCUCUGAAAAACAAAUAUUUUUCAUAAAAUAACAGGUGCAAAUGAGUUGCCUAAAAUAAAUCACCCCAGGUUUAAUUUAUAUUCUAUUAUUCAUAUUCCUAUUUAUUAGUAUUUACAUGUUUUAAAAGGGGGCCUAUCCACUUACUGGAGUUGCUUUCUAGAUAGCACAAAAGCAACACUUUGCUGUAAGUUCUUCAAUUUGGUCUUUAUUAAUGUGUAACUCUCUUUAAUAUUAUUAUUGAGCUAUUUCUUCUCAUUAUUGCCUACUGAAGAGGAUUAGAUAAACAAGCAGGCUUGAUUUUCCAGCUGGUAAUACGUAAGUGGGCACGAUGGCUUCAAAGCGAAAGGCUUUAAAAGGCAACGGUAUCAAACAAAUGGUACUCUGUGGGCACACUGAAAAUGAUGGGAUGGUUUUCCAGACCCAAAAUUGGGACAACUGGGGUAAUUACUGCAGAAGUUGUGCUACCCCGUGAGAGGUGGGAGGCGGGGGCUGAGGCCCUGCCACCCCCAGCCCUGGGGAGCAUCCCUGUCCACGAGCAUCCCUGUCCCGGGGAGCAUCCCUGUCCCGGGGAGCAUCCCUGUCCCGAAGCAUCCCUGUCCUGGGGAGCAUCCCUGUCCACGAGCAUCCCUGUCCAGAAGCAUCCCUGUCCCGAGAAGCAUCCCUGACCAUGAGCAUCCCUGCCCCGGGGAGCAUCCCUGUCCACGAGCAUCCCUGCCUCGGGGAGCAUCCCUGCCCGCCACAGCCCGGGUUGCCGCCGCGGCGGCUGCGGCGAGAGCUCCCCCUCCUGUUUCUCUCCUUCUCGGCACGGUGGGAAACGCAUCAUGGAACCUCGGAUACCCAAAUGUGUGCAAGUACAAGUCUGCGUGCCUUUAUGCACGUAUAAACACACAUGUACACCCACACAUGUAGGGAGAAAGCUGAAGGUAAUAAGGGAGGCUCUUGUGGGUUUUUUCCAAAUAACAGUCACAGAUGUUGCAGGCCAAAGUAAAGAUGCGGCUCUUAACUGGUUUCUUUUAAUAUUGACGAUAAUUUACCUUAUUGUUCCCUGCUUGCCAAGACGUUGUCAGCUCUCCAUCAGGUUGCUUAGUAAUGCCAGUCAAGGUGGGAAACAUAUGUCUACGCAGUCUUUCACAAGCUAAACUAUUCUCAUUUCACCUGUAUCCAAGGGGAAACCACAAUAAACAGCAAUUUAAAUUCAGGUAUUUGGU